UACGGAGGGUGCAAGCGUUAUCCGGAUUCACUGGGUUUAAAGGGAGCGCAGGCGGAUUUGUAAGUCAGUGGUGAAGGGCUUAAGCUUAACUUGGGAACUGCCAUUGAUACUAUAAGUCUUGAAUGUUGUUGAGGUUUGCGGAAUGGGUCAUGUAGCGGUGAAAUGCAUAGAUAUGACCCGGAACACCUAUUGCGAAGGCAGCAGGCUAAACAAAUAUUGACGCUGAGGCUCGAAAGCGUGGGGAUCAAACAGG
This 253-nucleotide ribosomal RNA is filed under the name uncultured bacterium. Its description in RNAcentral is "partial 16S ribosomal RNA". It matches the Rfam family "Bacterial small subunit ribosomal RNA", at positions 524 to 776 of the family's 1533-position model. The record is from RNAcentral.